Notolabrus celidotus (New Zealand spotty) is the source of this 894-nucleotide long non-coding RNA. RefSeq lists it as uncharacterized. The transcript has 3 exons. The record is from RefSeq and is a predicted model, not a curated record. NCBI's taxonomy places the organism in Eukaryota, Metazoa, Chordata, Actinopteri, Labriformes, Labridae.
GGGAACUCAGCCAAAGUUUCCAUUAACCUCCUCUCAGUCCUGACGUCACAGCAUGGAGGUAAAGGUAGAAACUCCUCCAUCAGACAGACUGAGCAGAGAGGUGGCUCCACCGUGUGGCGCUGCGUGGUACUGCAGUUAUAUCCUCCUGACUUUGAGCCUUCACACUGAGAGAAUGCUGGAAGCCAAUUUUUGUAUAUUUGUUCUUGUUUUUGAAGGCUGGCUUUUUGCAGUGCAGGAGGAAGAACCGGAGCUGAAGCCCUCCAUCACUCCCAAACAUCACUGAAGCUCUCAGGUACAACAGGACAGCUCAGGAAUGGACUCAGAAAUACGCCAUGUGAUCCUCCUCCUCACUGCUGGAACAAACUCUUUGAUUUCCUCCUCCUCUUCAUCAGCCAAUAACAGCAAUUUGUUCAUGUUUUUCUGUUGGUCCUCUUCCUCCUCACCUUUAAAUGCUUUUAAAGUCUUUAUUUGCCCUUUUUCUCUGCUUUCUAAACAAUAAAUAAAUAAACAAAGUGAGGGGCCGAGGACUCUGAGCUGUGAAUGUGCCAACUGCAAAACAAAAAGCCCCCAAAAAACCCCGGAGCGGACUCAGUCAGACCGGACUGGACGGAGAACUGUUACAGUAAUUAAACAGAGUAAUGGAAUGCAUGUCAGUGAUUGGUUCAUGUGCUGCUGCUGAGUCCACUUUCAAAAGAAACGACGACAGCUUUUUGGUUUUAUUCAGUUUUCUUGUUGUUUUGUUGUUUUUAGACGAGAGAGCCGUUAGUUCAUCCAUCAUCCACACACUGUUCUCCUCUUUUUGCACUGAAGAUGAAACUCAAAGCUCUCAAUGGCUGAUUGAUCAACUAAUAGCUCUGUGAUGUUUUCUUUCUCAAUAAAGUUGAACAAAUUGCA